CCCUUAGAUGUUCUGGGCCGCACGCGUGCUACACUGAGUGGAUCAGCGGGUCAGGUUGCGCGAAAGCGUUUCCUAAUCUUUAAAUCCGCUCGUGAUGGGGAUUGACGGUUGCAAUUUUCUGUCAUAAACGAGGAAUACCUUGUAAGCGCGGGUCAUCAUCCCGCGCUGAAUACGUCCCUGCCCUUUGUACACACCGCCCGUCGCUCCUACCGAUUGAGUGGUCCGGUGAGGCUUUGGGAUCUGAGCGGAAAGAGCGUUUCGCCGUUUCUGCUCGGAAAACUCAGUCGAACCUUAUCAUUUAGAGGAAGGAGAAGUCGUAACA
Molecule: ribosomal RNA, 322 nt
Filed under: uncultured eukaryote
Lineage: Eukaryota
Description: partial 18S ribosomal RNA
Rfam family: Eukaryotic small subunit ribosomal RNA
Source: RNAcentral